Molecule: ribosomal RNA, 850 nt
Filed under: uncultured crenarchaeote
Lineage: Archaea; Thermoproteati; Thermoproteota
Description: bacterial SSU rRNA
Rfam family: Archaeal small subunit ribosomal RNA
Source: RNAcentral
AGCAUACAAGGCAUACGGCUCAGUAACGCGUAGUCAACCUAACCUAUGGACGGGAAUAACCUCGGGAAACUGAGAAUAAUGCCCGAUAGAACAUUAUGCCUGGAAUGGUUUAUGUUCCAAAUGAUUUAUCGCCGUAGGAUGGGACUGCGGCCUAUCAGUUUGUUGGUGAGGUAAUGGCCCACCAAGACUAUUACAGGUACGGGCUCUGAGAGGAGUAGCCCGGAGAUGGGUACUGAGACACGGACCCAGGCCCUAUGGGGCGCAGCAGGCGAGAAAACUUUGCAAUGUGCGAAAGCACGACAAGGUUAAUCCGAGUGGUUUCUGCUAAAGAAACCUUUUGUCAGUCCUAGAAACACUGAUGAAUAAGGGGUGGGCAAGUUCUGGUGUCAGCCGCCGCGGUAAAACCAGCACCUCAAGUGGUCAGGAUGAUUAUUGGGCCUAAAGCAUCCGUAGCCGGCUCUGUAAGUUUUCGGUUAAAUCUGUACGCUCAACGUACAGGCUGCCGGGAAUACUGCAGAGCUAGGGAGUGGGAGAGGUAGACGGUACUCGGUAGGAAGGGGUAAAAUCCUUUGAUCUAUUGAUGACCACCUGUGGCGAAGGCGGUCUACCAGAACACGUCCGACGGUGAGGGAUGAAAGCUGGGGGAGCAAACCGGAUUAGAUACCCGGGUAGUCCCAGCUGUAAACUAUGCAAACUCAGUGAUGCAUUGGCUUGUGGCCAAUGCAGUGCUGCAGGGAAGCCGUUAAGUUUGCCGCCUGGGAAGUACGUACGCAAGUAUGAAACUUAAAGGAAUUGGCGGGGGAGCACCACAAGGGGUGAAGCCUGCGGUUCAAUUGGAGUCAACGCCGGG